Molecule: non-coding RNA, 30 nt
Filed under: Mus musculus (house mouse)
Lineage: Eukaryota; Metazoa; Chordata; Mammalia; Rodentia; Muridae
Source: RNAcentral
UCCUUUGCCUUCCACUAUAAUAUUUCCUGG